CUGAGAUGGACCCUAAACAGUCCUUUAAACACAAAGGUUUGGUCCUAACCUUGAAAUCAAUUAUUACUUAAUAUACACAUGCAAGUCUCCGCACCCCUGUGAAAACGCCCUCAAAUCCCCACUAGGGAUAAGGAGCCGAUAUCAGGCACAAUAUAUGCCCAAGACAUCUAGCUACGCCACACCCACAAGGGAACUCAGCAGUGAUUAACAUUGAGCAUAAGCGACAGCUUGACUCAGUUAAAGUAAAAAGAGCCGGCAAAUCUGGUGCCAGCCGCCGCGGUUACACCACGUGGCUCAAAUUGAAUUCUCUCGGCGUAAAGCGUGAUUAAAGUCUCACUAUUACUAGAGUUGAACUAAAACUAAGCUGUGACACGCUUGUGCUUAAGAAAAUCAAAAACGAAAGUUACUCCAAUCAAAACAACUUGAACCCACGACAGCUGAAAUACAAACUGGGAUUAGAUACCCCACUAUGCUCAGCCGUAAACUUUAAAUUACACCAAAAUCGCCAGGGAACUACGAGCAAAGCUUAAAACCCAAAGGACUUGACGGUACCCCACAUCCACCUAGAGGAGCCUGUCCUAUAAUCGAUACCCCCCGCUUAACCUCACCACUUCUCGCCAAAUCAGCCUGUAUACCUCCGUCGUCAGCUUACCACGUGAGCGUAACUUAGUGAGCUCAAUGCCCACACGCCAAUACGUCAGGUCAAGGUGCAGCAAAUGAAGUGGGAAGAGAUGGGCUACACUCUCUAAUAUAGAAUACACAGAAGACUAUCUAUGAAACCUAGUCUAAAGGCGGAUUUAGAAGUAAAAAGAAAACACGAGCGUUCUUUUUAACCCGGCACUGGGGUGUGUACACACCGCCCGUCACCCUCCUCAAUAGCCAUAACAAAGUAAACAACCAACAAAAGCAACACAGAAGAGGCAAGUCGUAACAUGGUAAGUAUACCGGAAGGUGUGCUUGGAUACGAAAGGU
This 972-nucleotide non-coding RNA is filed under the name Hyalinobatrachium pellucidum. Its description in RNAcentral is "partial 12S ribosomal RNA". It matches the Rfam family "Bacterial small subunit ribosomal RNA". The record is from RNAcentral. Lineage: Eukaryota; Metazoa; Chordata; Amphibia; Anura; Centrolenidae.